RNAcentral lists this ribosomal RNA (275 nucleotides) under uncultured bacterium. RNAcentral describes it as "partial 16S ribosomal RNA". It matches the Rfam family "Bacterial small subunit ribosomal RNA", at positions 338 to 606 of the family's 1533-position model. The record is from RNAcentral.
CCUACGGGUGGCUGCAGUGGGGAAUCUUGCGCAAUGGGCGAAAGCCUGACGCAGCGACGCCGCGUGAGCGAUGAAGGCCUUCGGGUUGUAAAGCUCUGUGGGGAGGAAAGAAUAAGGUUUGGCUAAUAUCCAAGCCGAUGACGGUACCUCCUUAGCAAGCACCGGCUAACUCUGUGCCAGCAGCCGCGGUAAGACAGAGGGUGCAAACGUUGUUCGGAAUUACUGGGCGUAAAGCGCGUGUAGGCGGCUUCGCAAGUCGGGUGUGAAAUCCCACG